This 226-nucleotide ribosomal RNA is filed under the name uncultured bacterium. Its description in RNAcentral is "partial 16S ribosomal RNA". It matches the Rfam family "Bacterial small subunit ribosomal RNA", at positions 106 to 334 of the family's 1533-position model. The record is from RNAcentral.
CGGGAGUAACGUAUGGGGAUCUGCCCGAUAGAGGGGGAUAACUACUGGAAACGGUGGCUAAUACCGCAUAAUGUCUACGGACCAAAGCAGGGGCUCUUCGGACCUUGCACUAUCGGAUGAACCCAUAUGGGAUUAGCUAGUAGGUGGGGUAAAGGCUCACCUAGGCGACGAUCUCUAGCUGGUCUGAGAGGAUGAUCAGCCACACUGGGACUGAGACACGGCCCAG